Molecule: ribosomal RNA, 481 nt
Filed under: uncultured Acidobacteriota bacterium
Lineage: Bacteria; Pseudomonadati; Acidobacteriota
Description: bacterial SSU rRNA
Rfam family: Bacterial small subunit ribosomal RNA
Source: RNAcentral
AACGGACGCUGGCGGCGUGCUUAACACAUGCAAGUCGAACGAGAAAGCUCCCUUCGGGGAGUGAGUAAAGUGGCAGACGGGUGAGUAACACGUGGGUAACCUACCCCGAGGUGGGGGAUAACUCUCCGAAAGGAGGGCUAAUACCGCAUAACAUCCCGAGACCGAUGGGUCAUGGGAUCAAAGCAGGCCUCUUCUUGAAAGCUUGCGCCAUGGGAUGGGCCCGCGCCCCAUUAGCUUGUUGGUGAGGUAACGGCUCACCAAGGCCGCGAUGGGUAGCCGGCCUGAGAGGGCGAUCGGUCACACUGGAACUGAGACACGGUCCAGACUCCUACGGGAGGCAGCAGUGAGGAAUUUUGCGCAAUGGGCGAAAGCCUGACGCAGCGACGCCGCGUGGAGGAAGAAGGCCUUCGGGUCGUAAACUCCUGUCAGGAGGGACGAAUGUCGGGCGGCUGAAUAAGCCGUCCGGUUGACGGUACCUCUG